UAGGAAUAGGGGUGCUCAGCGCCGACCUCCACCCUUUGUUGUUAAAACUACCUUGUUGCUUUGGCGGGACCGCUCGGUCUCGAGCCGCUGGGGAUUCGUCCCAGGCGAGCGCCCGCCAGAGUUAAACCAAACUCUUGUUAUUUAACCGGUCGUCUGAGUUAAAAUUUUGAAUAAAUCAAAACUUUCAACAACGGAUCUCUUGGUUCUCGCAUCGAUGAAGAACGCAGCGAAAUGCGAUAAGUAAUGUGAAUUGCAGAAUUCAGUGAAUCAUCGAAUCUUUGAACGCACAUUGCGCCCCUUGGUAUUCCGAGGGGCAUGCCUGUUCGAGCGUCAUUACACCACUCAAGCUAUGCUUGGUAUUGGGUGCCGUCCUUAGUUGGGCGCGCCUUAAAGACCUCGGCGAGGCCUCACCGGCUUUAGGCGUAGUAGAAUUUAUUCGAACGUCUGUCAAAGGAGAGGACUUCUGCCGACUGAAACCUUUAUUUUUCUAGGUUGACCUCGGAUCAGGUAGGGAUACCCGCUGAACUUAAGCAUAUCAAUAAGCGGAGGAA
RNAcentral lists this ribosomal RNA (551 nucleotides) under Aureobasidium pullulans. RNAcentral's name for it is "eukaryotic LSU rRNA". The stretch from base 180 to 333 matches the Rfam family "5.8S ribosomal RNA". Lineage: Eukaryota; Fungi; Ascomycota; Dothideomycetes; Dothideales; Saccotheciaceae. The record is from RNAcentral.